GUAACGAGCGCAACCCUUGCCUUAGUUACCAGCACGUUAUGGUGGGCACUCUAAGGAGACUGCCGGUGACAAACCGGAGGAAGGUGGGGAUGACGUCAAGUCAUCAUGGCCCUUACGGCCUGGGCUACACACGUGCUACAAUGGUCGGUACAAAGGGUUGCCAAGCCGCGAGGUGGAGCUAAUCCCAUAAAACCGAUCGUAGUCCGGAUCGCAGUCUGCAACUCGACUGCGUGAAGUCGGAAUCGCUAGUAAUCGUGAAUCAGAAUGUCCACGGUCGAAUACGUUCCCGGGCCUU
This 295-nucleotide ribosomal RNA is filed under the name uncultured Pseudomonas sp. RNAcentral's name for it is "partial 16S ribosomal RNA". It matches the Rfam family "Bacterial small subunit ribosomal RNA", at positions 1089 to 1382 of the family's 1533-position model. Lineage: Bacteria; Pseudomonadati; Pseudomonadota; Gammaproteobacteria; Pseudomonadales; Pseudomonadaceae. The record is from RNAcentral.